ACGGAAGGCAGCAGUGGGGAAUAUUGGGCAAUGGGGGAAACCCUGACCCAGCAACGCCGCGUGAAGGAAGAAGGCCUUCGGGUUGUAAACUUCUUUUACCAGGGAAGAAGAAAGUGACGGUACCUGGAGAAAAAGCCACGGCUAACUACGUGCCAGCAGCCGCGGUAAUACGUAGGGAGCAAGCGUUAUCCGGAAUUACUGGGUGUAAAGGGAGUGUAGGCGGGACUGUAAGUCAGAUGUGAAAUAUGCCGGCUCAACUGGCAGACUGCAUUUGAAACUGCGGUUCUUGAGUGAAGUAGAGGUAAGCGGAAUUCCUAGUGUAGCGGUGAAAUGCGUAGAUAUUAGGAGGAACACCAGUGGCGAAGGCGGCUUACUGGACGAUUACUGACGCUGAGGCUCGAAAGCGUGGGGAGCAAACAGGAUUAGAUACCCUGGUA
Molecule: ribosomal RNA, 437 nt
Rfam family: Bacterial small subunit ribosomal RNA